AUCAUAUAUUUGUGUGUGUGUGUGUGUGUGUGUCUUACAGGUAAAAAACAUGCUCCCAAAGGUUGACAGGGAAAGGGUGGCCAACUUCAUGUGCCACAACAUCCAGACGGCAGACAAAUAUUAUGCCAUGAAUUUAAAUCCAACCCAAGCAAAUGAAACCAGGGCACUCUUUGAGGCUGCACUGAAGGGGGAAGAUAACACAGUCGCCGCAGAGAACCAGCCCUCCACCUCAGGAGAAAGAAAGCAGAAGGUGAGAGAGGAUGCCUCCCUCUCCGACGGGAGCACCACCCCUGAAGAGACCAAGGUGAUGUACCAGGAGUCUGGCACGUCCGCCGGUGACUCGGAAGAGGAGGAAGAGGAUGAAGAUGAGGAACAGAUGGCCAGACAACUUCCAGAGACACCUUCCAAGGUGACCAAUCCUCAGGUGGAGAUGGAACUUACCCCAAAGAGGAAGCGGAGCAUCUGCACACGCCGCAUGGAGGUCGCCAUCAGCCCCAUGCUAGUCUCACCGCUCAAAGUGAGGCUCAAGUCGCCCCCCCACCAGUCCCUCAUUGUCACAUUAAAAGGGAUGCAACAACUAAACUCAAAUAAAGUAAGACUAAAAAAUGCCAUUGCCUCAAGGAGGUUAAAGCUGCAGGAGAAGGUGCAAAAGAGAGGAGGGGACCCCUGAUGCAGCUCGAAGGAAGGGGAGCCGACCAACAACAAGACUUCCUCUUCCAAAUAGUCAUGUAGAUUGUUUUAGACUCUCACAUUUAUACUGUUCUGAUUUUGUUUGGUUUGAUUUUCAAUUUUGGUGUGCUUGUUUACAUUUUAGAAGUGUAAAAUGUGUGUAAUUUAGUCUAACUGUCUGUUCAAUUUUCUAUUUUGGUGUGAUUCUUUAUAAUGUAAAGGUUUGUUCUGUUUUAUUAAAUAACUAGUUUAGUAAUUAUUUGUGUUGUGCUUUCUUUAAGGUUAUAUUCUAACUGUCUGUUCAAUUUUCUAUUUUGGUGUGAUUCUUUAUAAUGUAAAGGUUUGUUCUGUUUUAUUAAAUAACUAGUUGAGUAAUUCUUUGUGUUGUGCUUUCUUUAAGGUUUAUAUUUAGUUUGUCACUUAAUUUGUAAGUGUUAAACAUUCACUGUCUUGUGUUGUUGUCUGUGAAGGUAGGAACAAAUAUUUAGGCAUUAUUGGCAUGGGAAUCAUAUGUUUACAUUGGCAAAGCAAAUUAAGUAGAUAAUAAACAAAAGUGAAAUAAACAAUAAAGUCCUGCUGUAGACUGUACUACUGCUGUUCAGGAAGCACAAUUUGAACUAGAAACUUACACAGACAGGCUGAAAUAAACACUAAAAAAUAACAAAUGGCAUCACCGUAAUCUCUAGGCCAUGCCGAGUUCAACGAGAUAUCCCGCUUGACCGUAGCUCGCUCGGUCUGAGCGCAGCGACCAUGAGAAAAGUAAGCCCAAAAUGAAGCCUGCCCCACAACGUCAUUUGCUUUUGGGUGACAGUGAGAGAACCGUUAGGUUUAGAAGGACAAUUCAACCACAGGAAUGUUCCUAACGUCCUUCCAAUCCAUGCAAGCCUUACCUUGACCGUGUGGCAUUAACCCUUAAAAAUAAAACAGGGUUUUUUGAUCUCACAGAUUACAAUGACAUCUCUCCCCAUAGGAAUACAUUGACAGCUCCCCUAAAUUCAACCUGGAGCCUAUGUGGGUUAAUAAUGCCUUAUGAACCUGUCUUCAAUGCCAAUCCAUCAGGCCACUAUGAGGUCUACCUGUGUCGAUUCUAAGCUUCCUGGAGCAACCGGAAGUGGUUAAAUUCACCCAAAAUGUAUUUUGAUGUACAUAACCUGCAAAUGUGAAAAUGACUGCAUUCAACCCUGGGUAGAUCAGUCAAUUCUUAACAUAAAGACUUUAAACUCAGGAUUCUGUAAGAGAAUACCCAAAGCAAAAUAUUUGUUUACCUAUAGCUUCCUGUGCCAACCGGAAGUGCCUUUAAUUGGUGUCUCAGGGGCUUCUCCUUAGGAGGGAUGGGGACACCACCACGGGACAGACCCCACACUCAUCGCUAGAGAUCGAACUUCAGACUCCCUUCAAAACCACUGAACCCCUCAACACACCGAAAGAGAUUACGGUGCACACCCUUAGAGGGAGCCGGAACAGGAUAACUCCCUCCACCAUCACAGAGACACAGAGGAGGAGGAACUAUCCAACACCCAGGGAGAGAGAACAAGUGACGUCAGUCGAACACAGUCAGAAAGAGGAGGUGGAAGAGGCGUUAGAUAGAGGAGGAUAUUACCCCAGAGGCCAUUCCUCCUGUUCAUGUGAGCAAGAAAGAGCAGAAGGCUUCUGAUCAGCCAAAUGGCAGGCAGAGGGAGAGGUCAUAGUGAUUCACACCCACAGAGAGAAAGACAACCCACACAACCUCUUGGUUGAGAUGAACCACACAGGUAGAGGCAGAGGGCCUUCAAGGCUAGCCAGUCAGCCUGCCUGCUCUGAUCCUCAAGUCAAUUGUAUAUAAAUUCAUGUUCAUUAAAGAUUUUUAUUCAAGAAUUGACAAGUCCCAUUUCGUUAAAGGGGUCACCCUUUUCCUGCUACAAACACAACUUGCAUAUCAUCACAGACUAGGCCAAAACGUUAAUCUUUUAACCUUGCCUGAAUAAAACAAUGCAUUUUUUAUAGU
This is a long non-coding RNA of Oncorhynchus mykiss (rainbow trout), 2653 nucleotides long. The record is from Ensembl. Lineage: Eukaryota; Metazoa; Chordata; Actinopteri; Salmoniformes; Salmonidae.